This 613-nucleotide ribosomal RNA is filed under the name Escherichia coli. Its description in RNAcentral is "partial 23S ribosomal RNA". It matches the Rfam family "Bacterial large subunit ribosomal RNA", at positions 612 to 1225 of the family's 2925-position model. The record is from RNAcentral. Lineage: Bacteria; Pseudomonadati; Pseudomonadota; Gammaproteobacteria; Enterobacterales; Enterobacteriaceae.
AUAAUGGGUCAGCGACUUAUAUUCUGUAGCAAGGUUAACCGAAUAGGGGAGCCGAAGGGAAACCGAGUCUUAACUGGGCGUUAAGUUGCAGGGUAUAGACCCGAAACCCGGUGAUCUAGCCAUGGGCAGGUUGAAGGUUGGGUAACACUAACUGGAGGACCGAACCGACUAAUGUUGAAAAAUUAGCGGAUGACUUGUGGCUGGGGGUGAAAGGCCAAUCAAACCGGGAGAUAGCUGGUUCUCCCCGAAAGCUAUUUAGGUAGCGCCUCGUGAAUUCAUCUCCGGGGGUAGAGCACUGUUUCGGCAAGGGGGUCAUCCCGACUUACCAACCCGAUGCAAACUGCGAAUACCGGAGAAUGUUAUCACGGGAGACACACGGCGGGUGCUAACGUCCGUCGUGAAGAGGGAAACAACCCAGACCGCCAGCUAAGGUCCCAAAGUCAUGGUUAAGUGGGAAACGAUGUGGGAAGGCCCAGACAGCCAGGAUGUUGGCUUAGAAGCAGCCAUCAUUUAAAGAAAGCGUAAUAGCUCACUGGUCGAGUCGGCCUGCGCGGAAGAUGUAACGGGGCUAAACCAUGCACCGAAGCUGCGGCAGCGACGCUUAUGCGUUGUU